This 387-nucleotide ribosomal RNA is filed under the name uncultured bacterium. RNAcentral's name for it is "bacterial SSU rRNA". It matches the Rfam family "Bacterial small subunit ribosomal RNA", at positions 28 to 416 of the family's 1533-position model. The record is from RNAcentral.
GACGAACGCUGGCGGCGUGCUUAACACAUGCAAGUCGAACGGAAAGGCCCUUUCGGGGGUACUCGAGUGGCGAACAGGUGAGUAACACGUGGGUGAUCUGCCCUGCACUUUGGGAUAAGCCUGGGAAACUGGGUCUAAUACCGAAUACACCCUGCUGGUCGCAUGGCCUGGUGGGGGAAAGCUUUUGCGGUGUGGGAUGGGCCCGCGGCCUAUCAGCUUGUUGGUGGGGUGAUGGCCUACCAAGGCGACGACGGGUAGCCGGCCUGAGAGGGUGUCCGGCCACACUGGGACUGAGAUACGGCCCAGACUCCUACGGGAGGCAGCAGUGGGGAAUAUUGCACAAUGGGCGCAAGCCUGAUGCAGCGACGCCGCGUGGGGAUGACGGCC